UAUACUGUGUGAUAUUUUGCAUUAAACUUCAUUUGAGCAUUUUGAGAAUGCUUUACUGAGAUGCAAUUUCACACCAAUACUAAUUUGUUUUACUCAUAAAUUAAUUGUCAUGCUGGAAACUUUCUUCAUAAAGAAAUGAGGAGAUAUGGUAUAAUAUCAAUGAGACAUCUAUUAAACAGAGAUCAAAGGACAAGACAAAGCAUUUUUUCCCCUGUAACUAUAUAUGAAUCAGAUCUUCCACAAAUUUAG
RNAcentral lists this long non-coding RNA (249 nucleotides) under Mytilus galloprovincialis (Mediterranean mussel). Lineage: Eukaryota; Metazoa; Mollusca; Bivalvia; Mytilida; Mytilidae. The record is from RNAcentral.